This 529-nucleotide ribosomal RNA is filed under the name uncultured bacterium. RNAcentral describes it as "bacterial SSU rRNA". It matches the Rfam family "Bacterial small subunit ribosomal RNA", at positions 338 to 887 of the family's 1533-position model. The record is from RNAcentral.
CCUACGGGAGGCAGCAGUGGGGAAUCUUGCACAAUGGANGAAACUCUGAUGCAGCGAUGCCGCGUGAGUGAAGAAGGCCUUUGGGUUGUAAAGCUCUUUCGUCGGGGAAGAAAAUGACUGUACCCGAAUAAGAAGGUCCGGCUAACUUCGUGCCAGCAGCCGCGGUAAUACGAAGGGACCUAGCGUAGUUCGGAAUUACUGGGCUUAAAGAGUUCGUAGGUGGUUGAAAAAGUUGGUGGUGAAAUCCCANAGCUUAACUCUGGAACUGCCAUCAAAACUUUUCAGCUAGAGUAUGAUAGAGGAAAGCAGAAUUUCUAGUGUAGAGGUGAAACUUGUAGAUAUUAUAAAGAAUACCAAUUGCGAAGGCAGCUUUCUGGAUCAUUACUGACACUGAGGAACGAAAGCAUGGGUAGCGAAGAGGAUUAGAUACCUUCGUAGUCCAUGCCGUAAACGAUGUGUGUUAGACGUUGGAAAUUUAUUUUCNNUGUCNCAGCGAAAGCGAUAAACACACCGCCUGGGGAGUACGACC